Molecule: ribosomal RNA, 531 nt
Filed under: Triticum aestivum (bread wheat)
Lineage: Eukaryota; Viridiplantae; Streptophyta; Magnoliopsida; Poales; Poaceae
Description: partial small subunit ribosomal RNA
Source: RNAcentral
AUGACUGCUCCCUCGUCACCGCUGCUCACGCUGGUCCUCCUCCUGCUUACGUCGUCGCCGGCCGUGGCGUGCGCCCACCCCGGCGGCGACCUCAAGCGCAUCCGCGUGUACAUGCACGAGACCCUCUCGGGGCCGAACGCGACCCUGCUGACGUCGGUGCAGUCCCCGCUGGGCGGCAGCGCAACGUUUGGUCAGAUCGGCGUGCUGGACAACGAGCUGCGGGACGGGCCGGACCGGGGUAGCUCGUCGCUGCUGGGCCGUUUCCAGGGCUUGUUCGCCAUGACGGGGCUGGCUAGCACGCCAGGCCUGUUGUCGGCGGUCAACGUCGUGUUCACUGCCGGGCAGCACCGCGGGAGCACGCUGGCCAUGUUGGGCACGAUACAGGACUUACGGGCUACCGUCGAGCGCACCGUCGUCGGCGGGACCGGCGCGUUUCGGAUGGCGCGCGGGUACAGCUCCAUGGUUUACGUGCCUGAGGCGAGCACGACGAACCACGAUGUCUAUAGGAUCGACUUCUUUGUUGAUGUUUAG